This 811-nucleotide ribosomal RNA is filed under the name uncultured bacterium. RNAcentral describes it as "bacterial SSU rRNA". It matches the Rfam family "Bacterial small subunit ribosomal RNA", at positions 71 to 872 of the family's 1533-position model. The record is from RNAcentral.
AGGAAGAGCUUGCUGCUUUGCUGACGAGUGGCCGAUGGGUGAGUAAUGUCUGGGAAACUGCCUGAUGGAGGGGGAUAACUACUGGAAACGGUAGCUAAUACCGCAUAACGUCGCAAGACCAAAGAGGGGGACCUUCGGGCCUCUUGCCAUCGGAUGUGCCCAGAUGGGAUUAGCUAGUAGGUGGGGUAACGGCUCACCUAGGCGACGAUCCCUAGCUGGUCUGAGAGGAUGACCAGCCACACUGGAACUGAGACACGGUCCAGACUCCUACGGGAGGCAGCAGUGGGGAAUAUUGCACAAUGGGCGCAAGCCUGAUGCAGCCAUGCCGCGUGUAUGAAGAAGGCCUUCGGGUUGUAAAGUACUUUCAGCGGGGAGGAAGGGAGUAAAGUUAAUACCUUUGCUCAUUGACGUUACCCGCAGAAGAAGCACCGGCUAACUCCGUGCCAGCAGCCGCGGUAAUACGGAGGGUGCAAGCGUUAAUCGGAAUUACUGGGCGUAAAGCGCACGCAGGCGGUUUGUUAAGUCAGAUGUGAAAUCCCCGGGCUCAACCUGGGAACUGCAUCUGAUACUGGCAAGCUUGAGUCUCGUAUAGGGGGGUAGAAUUCCAGGUGUAGCGGUGAAAUGCGUAGAGAUCUGGAGGAAUACCGGUGGCGAACGCGGCCCCCUGGACGAAGACUGACGCUCAUGUGCGAAAGCGUGGGGAGCAAACAGGAUUAGAUACCCCUGGUAGUCCACGCCGUAAACUAUGUCUACUUUGGAGGUUGGUGCCCUUUGAGGCGUGGCCUUCCGGAGCUAACCCUUUAAGUCCCAC